UNUGACUUGAGUGCAGAAGGGGAGAGUGGAAUUCCAUGUGUAGCGGUGAAAUGCGUAGAUAUAUGGAGGAACACCAGUGGCGAAAGCGGCUCUCUGGUCUGUCACUGACGCUGAGGCUCGAAAGCGUGGGUAGCGAACAGGAUUAGAUACCCUGGUAGUNCACGCCGUAAACGAUGAGUGCUAGGUGUUAGGCCCUUUCCGGGGCUUAGUGCCGGAGCUAACGCAAUAAGCACUCCGCCUGGGGAGUACGACCGCAAGGUUGAAACUCAAAGGAAUUGACGGGGGCCCGCACAAGCGGUGGAGCAUGUGGUUUAAUUCGAAGCAACGCGAAGAACCUUACCAGGUCUUGACAUCCCGAUGCUAUUCUUAGAGAUAGGAAGUUACUUCGGUACAUCGGAGACAGGUGGUGCAUGGUUGUCGUCAGCUCGUGUCGUGAGAUGUUGGGUUAAGUCCCGCAACGAGCGCAACCCUUAUUGUUAGUUGCCAUCAUUAAGUUGGGCACUCUAGCGAGACUGCCGGUAAUAAACCGGAGGAAGGUGGGGAUGACGUCAAAUCAUCAUGCCCCUUAUGACCUGGGCUACACACGUGCUACAAUGGUCGGUACAACGAGUUGCGAGCCGGUGACGGCAAGCUAAUCUCUGAAAGCCGAUCUCAGUUCGGAUUGGAGGCUGCAACUCGCCUCCAUGAAGUCGGAAUCGCUAGUAAUCGCGGAUCAGCACGCCGCGGUGAAUACGUUCCCGGGCCUUGUAC
RNAcentral lists this ribosomal RNA (750 nucleotides) under uncultured bacterium. RNAcentral's name for it is "bacterial SSU rRNA". It matches the Rfam family "Bacterial small subunit ribosomal RNA", at positions 636 to 1386 of the family's 1533-position model. The record is from RNAcentral.